CAGCCGCCGCGGGAAUACGUAGGUGGCAAGCGUUGUCCGGAAUUAUUGGGCGUAAAGGGCUCGCAGGCGGUUUCUUAAGUCUGAUGUGAAAGCCCCCGGCUCAACCGGGGAGGGUCAUUGGAAACUGGGAAACUUGAGUGCAGAAGAGGAGAGUGGAAUUCCACGUGUAGCGGUGAAAUGCGUAGAGAUGUGGAGGAACACCAGUGGCGAAGGCGACUCUCUGGUCUGUAACUGAUGCUGAGGAGCGAAAGCGUGGGGAGCGAACAGGAUUAGAUACCCCAGUAGUCCCUGUCUCUUAUAC
Molecule: ribosomal RNA, 301 nt
Filed under: uncultured bacterium
Lineage: Bacteria
Description: partial 16S ribosomal RNA
Rfam family: Bacterial small subunit ribosomal RNA
Source: RNAcentral